UACAAGUCGUAACAAGGUUUCAGUUGGAGAACCAGCUGAAGGAUCAUU
RNAcentral lists this ribosomal RNA (48 nucleotides) under Enterocytozoon bieneusi. RNAcentral's name for it is "partial small subunit ribosomal RNA". Lineage: Eukaryota; Fungi; Microsporidia; Enterocytozoonidae. The record is from RNAcentral.